CAACACCUUAACAGAAACAAAUUCCUUUGUCCGUUCAUUCUAUCCACAGACUAUUUUCAGAGAAGAGAAUGUCCCAGCUAGAAAUGCAAGUGGACGAGUGCCAACCCGAUGAGGCCAAUGAUUUGCGAGUGGAGACCUCUGAGGAACUUGGACCCUCGCUGAGUCCCCUUAGCCUCUUCACUUGCUUCUGCAUGGCCCGUCCUGUCAGUUAUUUCAGCAAUCCCUCAUCCCCUUGACCUCACCGCCUGCCCCUGGGGACAAUCACAAGAGGACUCCAUUUGACUCAGUCCAGCUGCCGCCUUCUCUGUCCUGCCUGAAGCAGCUGAGCGCUGUUGAGACCACACGGCCUCAUGGAUCUAGACGGGCAUGAGCUCCCGGCCUCUGCUUCAUCCUUGGUGCUGCCCGUAAGUCCUGUGGUCUCUGGCCAGCUUUAUGUCCUACUCCCCCAAUGGCUAUAACAGACCUUCACCAGUCUCCUGAAGAUUUCUUUCCUACUGACUCGCCCCUCCCCAGCCCUAGCUCACAAUGAACUUACCCUCUGCUUCAAGGUAGAAGUAAAUUUCCUUAUGUGGGGGGAACGUUCAAAAUUUCUAGCCUCCCUCUGCAGAGCCCCUCUCCCCGGCAGCCUCUCCUUCUACAGCUGUGGGAGGAGGCCUUACUUUUGAGUAAAGCUAAUGCCUCCUCACAGCACUGAGUCCCCUCUCGUCCCCAUUUCUCAGGGAGCUUAUUCCAUUUCUAGUCCUCUCGUAUUUUAAAUAUGAAGCCAGAAUACAGCCAUGGAACUGCUUCUCCCUCAGAGCCUCCAGUAGAAACUCACCCUGCCA
This 824-nucleotide long non-coding RNA is filed under the name Homo sapiens (human). Its description in RNAcentral is "non-protein coding lnc-CLEC2D-5:2". The record is from RNAcentral. Lineage: Eukaryota; Metazoa; Chordata; Mammalia; Primates; Hominidae.